CGCGUGAGCAACCUGCCCUUCGGAACGGGAUAGUGUCUGGAAACGGACAGUAAUACCGUAUAACGUAUUUUUACCGCAUGAUAGAAAUACCAAAACUGAGGUGCCGAAGGAUGGGCUCGCGUCUGAUUAGAUAGUUGGUGGGGUAACGGCCUACCAAGUCGACGAUCAGUAGCCGGACUGAGAGGUUGAACGGCCACAUUGGGACUGAGACACGGCCCAGACUCCUACGGGAGGCAGCAGUGGGGAAUAUUGCACAAUGGGGGAAACCCUGAUGCAGCAACGCCGCGUGAAGGAAGACGGUUUUCGGAUUGUAAACUUCUGUUCUUAGUGAAGAAUAAUGACGGUAGCUAAGGAGCAAGCCACGGCUAACUACGUGCCAGCAGCCGCGGUAAUACGUAGGUGGCAAGCGUUGUCCGGAAUUACUGGGUGUAAAGGGAGCGUAGGCGGGAUGCCAAGUCAGCUGUGAAAACUAUGGGCUUAACCUGUA
This 487-nucleotide ribosomal RNA is filed under the name uncultured bacterium. Its description in RNAcentral is "bacterial SSU rRNA". It matches the Rfam family "Bacterial small subunit ribosomal RNA", at positions 114 to 618 of the family's 1533-position model. The record is from RNAcentral.